GGUUUCGUAGUGUAGUGGCUAUCACAUUGGAUUUUGAUUCCAACAACCUGAGUUCGAAUCUCGGCGAGACCU
RNAcentral lists this transfer RNA (72 nucleotides) under Opeltia flavorubescens. RNAcentral's name for it is "tRNA-Gln (TTG) (tRNA-Gln-TTG-1-1)". It matches the Rfam family "tRNA". Rfam says of the family: Transfer RNA (tRNA) molecules are approximately 80 nucleotides in length. Lineage: Eukaryota; Fungi; Ascomycota; Lecanoromycetes; Teloschistales; Teloschistaceae. The record is from RNAcentral.